CCUACGGGAGGCAGCAGUGAGGAAUAUUGGUCAAUGGCCGGAAGGCUGAACCAGCCAAGCCGCGUGAAGGACGAAGGUGCCAAGCAUUGUAAACUUCUUUUGUCAAGGGACAAAAUCAGGUUCGAGAGCCUGACCGAGGGUACUUGAAGAAAAAGCAUCGGCCAACCCCGUGCCAGCGGCCGCGGUAAUACGGGGGGUGCAAGCGUGGUCCGGAACCAUUGGGCGUAAAGGGUUCGUAGACGGCACGGAACGUUUGGUGUUAAAGGCAGAGGCUCAACUUCUGUACGGAACUGGAUACUUGCGGGCUAGAAUGCGGUAGAGGUAGAGGGAAUUCCUGGUGUAGCGGUGAAAUGCGUAGAUAUCAGGAGGAACAUCGGUGGCGUAAGCGCUUUACUGGGCCGUAAUUGACGCUGAGGAACGAAAGCGAGGGUAGCAAAUGGGAUUAGAUACCCGGGUAGUC
RNAcentral lists this ribosomal RNA (460 nucleotides) under uncultured bacterium. RNAcentral describes it as "partial 16S ribosomal RNA". It matches the Rfam family "Bacterial small subunit ribosomal RNA", at positions 338 to 795 of the family's 1533-position model. The record is from RNAcentral.